GCCGGGCCACAUUCGGCCCACGGGCCGCAGGUUGCCUAUCCCUGUCCUAGUUCCUCCAAAUUGGGUUGGUUUUCUUCCCUUGUGGCCAUUUCACGGGUCUACGAAAGGUACAACUGAGGCUUGUAUGGCAGUGGAUGCCUAUAAAGUGAUACCCAUUAUUGCACUGGGAUCAGUACUGAGCAUCCUCUAAGCACUGGGCAGCACUGCCAUGAUGUCUGCAUGUGGCACAGAUAGAAAAGUUUCUGUUUUUUGGAGUAUCAGAUUUCUACAGCCAGAAUUUCCCUCCGUCUCUGGCUUUUGGGGUGCUGUGUACCCCAUUUUGUGUGUGUGUGUAUGUGGGGCAUUGUGAGGCCUAGGCCUGACCAUGGAAACACCUCUCUUUUCCUCUCUCUUUUGGACUAGCAUGCAGUGUGGAUGCUGGGUUUUCCUUUGGCACUUCUGGGUUAUUUUGUUUCAUGUUAUGGGUGCAAAAGGGUCGUUCUAGAAGGGGUGGCAACAGUGGGGUGGAAGGUGGGGAGGACCCCCAAAUUUAACCUGUAUUCUCUUCACACACACACCCCAAUUUGAAUUUGUAAAACAGAUCCUCCAUGGAUCCUGCUCUGAACCUCCCACUCCACGGACCCUGUGCUGCCAUGGGGUUUGUCUAGAGGUUCCUGAGGUACCCCACAUGUUUUCUCAUUCUACCCGGCAGGUAUUCCUCCCUUCCCAGGGUCCCAGCCCAGCAUCCUAUAGGAUUCCACACAUGCACCUUUCCAGAAAGUAUGGCUGUCCGGACGUCCUUUUGAUGGUUUUCCAUCAGACACAGGGAAGUGAAACUGGGGAGGUUCCUUGCAUGUAAAGACUGCCCAGUUUUCAUCAGCCGGAUGGGUUUUGGGAAUCAGCCUGGGUUCGCAUUGUUUUAAAAAAUUAAAAUAUCGCAGCGACAAAGUUUGAAGGAUUGUGGCCAAGUGAGAGGGGCUGCAGGCUAAGCCCCCCACCCCAGUGCCAAGAUCCACCAUGAGCGAGCUGGAGCAGUUGAGGCAGGAAGCGGAGCAGCUGCGGAACCAGAUCAGGGAUGCCAGGAAAGCAUGCGGCGACUCAACAUUGACCCAGGAAGA
Long non-coding RNA from Sceloporus undulatus (fence lizard), 1097 nucleotides. RefSeq lists it as uncharacterized. The record is from RefSeq and is a predicted model, not a curated record. NCBI's taxonomy places the organism in Eukaryota, Metazoa, Chordata, Lepidosauria, Squamata, Phrynosomatidae. The transcript has 3 exons.